UCAAGCUAAAAAGAGCGCAGGGUGGAUGCCUUGGCACUAAGAGCCGAUGAAAGACGUGAUAAGCUGCGAUAAGCUACGGGGAGGAGCACAUAUCCAUUGAUCCGUAGAUUUCUGAAUGGGGAAACCCGGCUGAGCAUACCUCAGUCACCGUGCACUGAAUCCAUAGGUGUACGGAGGGAACCCGGUGAACUGAAACAUCUAAGUAGCCGGAGGAAGAGAAAGAAAACUCGAUUUUCAAAGUAGCGGCGAGCGAAAUGGAAAGAGCCCAAACCGGAGUGCGUGCACUCCGGGGUUCGGACUGCAUUUAUGACUUCUGACUGUAGCGGAACGGUUCUGGAAAGACCGGCCAGAGAGGGUGAGAGCCCCGUAGGCGAAACGGAAAGAAGCAGAGCAGGAUCCAGAGUACCACGAGACACGAGAAACCUUGUGGGAAUGAGCGGGGACCACCCCGUAAGGCUAAAUACUCCUUAGUGACCGAUAGAGCAGAGUACUGUGAAGGAAAGGUGAAAAGGACCCCGGGAGGGGAGUGAAAGAGAACCUGAAACCCUGUGUUUACAAACUGUGGAAGUACCAUAUGAGUACAACCGCGUACUUUUUGUAGAACGGUCCGGCGAGUUACGUUUACUGGCGAGGUUAAGCACUUAAGGUGCGGAGCCGAAGGGAUACCAAGUCUUAACAGGGCGUAAAGUCAGUGUACGUAGACCCGAAACCGGGUGAUCUACCCAUGUCCAGGCUGAAGUUGCCGUAAAAGGCAAUGGAGGGCCGAACGCACAUCCGUUGAAAAGGGUGGCGAUGAGGUGUGGGUAGGGGAGAAAUUCCAAUCGAACCCGGAGAUAGCUGGUUCUCCUCGAAAUAGCUUUAGGGCUAGCCUCGUGUUAACCUUGUGGAGGUAGAGCACUGAAUAUCCUAGGGGGCGUCAAAGUCUACCGAAGAUUAUCAAACUCCGAAUGCCAUAAAGGUGAUGCACGGGAGUCAGACUGCACGAGAUAAGUUGGGUGGUCAAAAGGGAAAGAGCCCAGACCUACAGCUAAGGUCCCAAAGUGCGUGUUAAGUGGAAAAGGAUGUGGGAUUUCGAAGACAACUAGGAUGUUGGCUCAGAAGCAGCCAUACAUUCAAAGAGUGCGUAAUAGCUCACUAGUCGAGAGGUCCUGCGCCGAAAAUGUCCGGGGCUAAAACAUGACACCGAAGCUUAGGAACAGAAAUGUUGGUAGGGGAGCAUUGCUAGAGGAACGAAGCAGUACCGAAAGGAGCUGUGGACUUCUAGGAAGAGAGAAUGCCGGAAUGAGUAGCGAGAGUAAGGUGAGAAUCCUUACGGCCGAAUAUCUAAGGUUUCCAGAGUAAAGCUGAUCUGCUCUGGGUAAGUCGGGACCUAAGGCGAGGACGAAAGUCGUAGUCGAUGGAUAACAGGUAGAGAUUCCUGUACUCCGUAUAAACAGAACUGUGGGGACACGGGUGGAAAGCCUGACCCGGGAAUGGAAAGACCGGGACAAGCGAGGUACCUGAUAAGGAGGCAAAUCCCCUUAUCAAUGGGAAGACGUGAUGUGGAGCGAACCAAAGGGUAGCGAAGCAGGUGAGCCAGCCGUCGAGAAAAGCCGCUAUUGUUUUGUACGGACCCGUACCGUAAACCGACACAGGUGGAUGAGGAGAGAAUCCUAAGGCCGACGGGAGAAGCAUUGUUAAGGAACUCGGCAAAAUGACCCCGUAACUUCGGGAGAAGGGGUGCCUGAGGAAUCAGGCCGCAGAGAAUAGGUCCAAGCAACUGUUUAGCAAAAACACAGGUCUAUGCGAAACCGAAAGGUGAAGUAUAUGGGCUGACGCCUGCCCGGUGCUGGAAGGUUAAGAGGAGAGGUUAGCGCAAGCGAAGCUUUGAAUUUAAGCCCCAGUAAACGGCGGCCGUAACUAUAACGGUCCUAAGGUAGCGAAAUUCCUUGUCGGGUAAGUUCCGACCCGC
RNAcentral lists this ribosomal RNA (1951 nucleotides) under human gut metagenome. Its description in RNAcentral is "bacterial LSU rRNA". It matches the Rfam family "Bacterial large subunit ribosomal RNA", at positions 3 to 1991 of the family's 2925-position model. The record is from RNAcentral.